CAGUCGCCGCGGUAAUACGAAGGGUGCAAGCGUUACUCGGAAUUACUGGGCGUAAAGCGUGCGUAGGUGGUGGUUUAAGUCCGUUGUGAAAGCCCUGGGCUCAACCUGGGAAUUGCAGUGGAUACUGGGUCACUAGAGUGUGGUAGAGGAUAGUGGAAUUUCCGGUGUAGCAGUGAAAUGCGUAGAGAUCGGAAGGAACAUCUGUGGCGAAGGCGACUAUCUGGGCCAACACUGACACUGAGGCACGAAAGCGUGGGGAGCAAACAGGAUUAGAUACCCGAGUAUCCCUGUCUCUUAUACA
Molecule: ribosomal RNA, 301 nt
Filed under: uncultured bacterium
Lineage: Bacteria
Description: partial 16S ribosomal RNA
Rfam family: Bacterial small subunit ribosomal RNA
Source: RNAcentral